UACGUAGGGUGCGAGCGUUGUCCGGAAUUAUUGGGCGUAAAGGGCUCGUAGGCGGUUUGUCGCGUCGGGAGUGAAAACCUCGGGCUUAACUCGGGGCUUGCUUUCGAUACGGGCAGACUGGAGGUAUGCAGGGGAGAACGGAAUUCCUGGUGUAGCGGUGAAAUGCGCAGAUAUCAGGAAGAACACCGGUGGCGAAGGCGGGUCUCUGGGCCGAUACUGACGCUGAGGAGCGAAAGCGUGGGGAGCGAACAGG
RNAcentral lists this ribosomal RNA (253 nucleotides) under uncultured bacterium. RNAcentral's name for it is "partial 16S ribosomal RNA". It matches the Rfam family "Bacterial small subunit ribosomal RNA", at positions 524 to 776 of the family's 1533-position model. The record is from RNAcentral.